RNAcentral lists this non-coding RNA (26 nucleotides) under Homo sapiens (human). The record is from RNAcentral. Lineage: Eukaryota; Metazoa; Chordata; Mammalia; Primates; Hominidae.
UGCUUGUGUGCUCAUGAAGACAUGCC